CCUACGGGCGGCAGCAGUGGGGAAUAUUGCACAAUGGGGGGAACCCUGAUGCAGCGACGUCGCGUGAGUGAAGAAGUAUUUCGGUAUGUAAAGCUCUAUCAGCAGGGAAGAAAAUGACGGUACCUGACUAAGAAGCCCCGGCUAACUACGUGCCAGCAGCCGCGGGAAUUCGUAGGGGGCAAGCGUUAUCCGGAUUUACUGGGUGUAAAGGGAGCGCAGACGGCUGUGCAAGUCUGGAGUGAAAGGCGGGGGCCCAACCCCCGGACUGCUCUGGAAACUGUAAAGCUGGAGUGCAGGAGAGGUAAGCGGAAUUCGUAGUGUAGCGGUGAAAUGCGUAGAUAUUAGGAGGAACACCAGUGGCGAAGGCGGCUUACUGGACUGCAACUGACGUUGAGGCUCGAAAGCGUGGGGAGCAAACAGGAUUAGAUACCCGGGUAGUC
Molecule: ribosomal RNA, 440 nt
Filed under: uncultured bacterium
Lineage: Bacteria
Description: partial 16S ribosomal RNA
Rfam family: Bacterial small subunit ribosomal RNA
Source: RNAcentral